This 394-nucleotide long non-coding RNA is filed under the name Homo sapiens (human). RNAcentral describes it as "HSALNT0094944". Lineage: Eukaryota; Metazoa; Chordata; Mammalia; Primates; Hominidae. The record is from RNAcentral.
AGAGAGCAAUCUUCUUUGGAUGGUAAGAAUUUAUUCUUGGGCUGGAAGCUGGGAAAGUACUGGAUUCUCCCUCCAUUCCCUUUCUGAUCCCAGAAGUCUUUGGACCACAGUCCCCUGUCAAUUGGUAACACCCAAGAAACAGCAGAUAGAAAAAGCAGUCACCACACAAGCCACCACACCAUGAGCAAGCACAGGACAUUGAGGCUCUCUGGACCAGCCACAGCUGAGCUCAGCAGGACCACACGGUUCUCAGGAGAGUCCUGCAAACCAGCACCAACAUCUCUGGCCCAGAGCCACAUCUGGCCUUCCCACAUGUAUCGUUGGCUGACCAAAAAGCUGACAGCCGGAGAAGGGAAAAGAACAAGAGGAGGCCUGGUUAGGAUGUGCUAUUCUA